This is a long non-coding RNA of Homo sapiens (human), 425 nucleotides long. RefSeq lists it as uncharacterized. The record is from RefSeq and is a predicted model, not a curated record. Lineage: Eukaryota; Metazoa; Chordata; Mammalia; Primates; Hominidae. The transcript is spliced from 3 exons.
AACAGAGCGAGGCCAGCUGGGGACGCAGGCAGCGGAGGUCAGCAGGGAAGAUGCAGGCCCAACCAGCUCUGAGACCCAGAGCUCCUUGGAGCUCCCUUGUCAUGGAGCUCCCUGGGCCUCAGUUCCUUGUCUGUAAAAUGGGAGGAUUAUACCUUCACCAUGGAACUACCGUUCGGCAAGGAACUGAAACUCAGAGAGGUGCAGUGAUGCACCCAAGACCACACAGCCAAGAACCCAGGCCAGCCUGAGCUAGUGGAACCAGCAGACUUUCCAAGGCUCCUCCCUGGAAGACGAUGUCCCGUCACCUGCAGACCUCCAGUAACAGGGCUCUCAGCGCCCACCUAAAGCUACUGGUUCUCCUUUUUUUUUUCCUUUUCUUUGCUCACUGCCGCCUCUGCCUCCCAGGUUCAAGUGAUUCUCCUGCC